Molecule: ribosomal RNA, 386 nt
Filed under: uncultured bacterium
Lineage: Bacteria
Description: bacterial SSU rRNA
Rfam family: Bacterial small subunit ribosomal RNA
Source: RNAcentral
AUUAGACGCUGGCGGCAUGCCUUACACAUGCAAGUCGAACGGUAGCGCGGGGCAACCUGGCGACGAGUGGCGAACGGGUGAGUAAAGCAUCGGAACGUGCCCUGGAAUGGGGGAUAACGUAGCGAAAGUUACGCUAAUACCGCAUAUUCUGUGAGCAGGAAAGCAGGGGAUCGCAAGACCUUGCGUUCUGGGAGCGGCCGAUGUCGGAUUAGCUAGUUGGUGGGGUAAAGGCUUACCAAGGCGACGAUCUGUAGCGGGUCUGAGAGGAUGAUCCGCCACACUGGAACUGAGACACGGUCCAGACUCCUACGGGAGGCAGCAGUGGGGAAUUUUGGACAAUGGGGGGCAACCCUGAUCCAGCCAUGCCGCGUGAGUGAAGAAGGCCU